Molecule: ribosomal RNA, 253 nt
Filed under: uncultured bacterium
Lineage: Bacteria
Description: partial 16S ribosomal RNA
Rfam family: Bacterial small subunit ribosomal RNA
Source: RNAcentral
UACGAAGGGGGCUAGCGUUGCUCGGAAUCACUGGGCGUAAAGCGCACGUAGGCGGCUUCUUAAGUCAGGGGUGAAAUCCUGGAGCUCAACUCCAGAACUGCCUUUGAUACUGAGGAGCUUGAGUCCGGGAGAGGUGAGUGGAACUGCGAGUGUAGAGGUGAAAUUCGUAGAUAUUCGCAGGAACACCAGUGGCGAAGGCGGCUCACUGGCCCGGUACUGACGCUGAGGUGCGAAAGCGUGGGGAGCAAACAGG